GCCUCCGUGGCCAAAUGGAUAAGGCAUCGGUUUCCUAAACCGGGGAUUGUGGGUUCGAGUCCCACCGGAGGUG
Molecule: non-coding RNA, 73 nt
Organism: Strongylocentrotus purpuratus (purple sea urchin)
Lineage: Eukaryota; Metazoa; Echinodermata; Echinoidea; Camarodonta; Strongylocentrotidae
Source: Rfam